This 200-nucleotide ribosomal RNA is filed under the name uncultured bacterium. RNAcentral describes it as "partial 16S ribosomal RNA". It matches the Rfam family "Bacterial small subunit ribosomal RNA", at positions 1302 to 1500 of the family's 1533-position model. The record is from RNAcentral.
AGUCUGCAACCCGACUACAUGGAAGCUGGAAUCGCUAGUAAUCGCAGAUCAGAAUGCUGCGGUGAAUACGUUCCCGGGUCUUGCACACACCGCCCGCCACACCAUGGGAGUCGGGAAUGCCCGAAGUCAGUGACCCAACCGCAAGGAGGGAGCUGCCGAAGGCAGGCUCGAUAACUGGGGUGAAGUCGUAACAAGGUACC